RNAcentral lists this ribosomal RNA (390 nucleotides) under Triticum aestivum (bread wheat). RNAcentral describes it as "partial small subunit ribosomal RNA". The record is from RNAcentral. Lineage: Eukaryota; Viridiplantae; Streptophyta; Magnoliopsida; Poales; Poaceae.
AUGUUGUGUUGUUGCAAGACGACAUCCCUGCAUGGAAUCAGUUGUUGUUGCAAAUUUGUUGAAGGAUUUGUUGUUGUUGUUGUUGUUGUUGUUGUUGUGCUUGUUGCUGCGAAAUUGGUUGUUGUGGUUGCGGAUAUUGUGGUUGCGGUUGUGGAUAGGGUUGUUGUGGUGGAAAUGGUUGCGGCUGCGGAUAUGGUAGUUGUGACGGAAAUGGUUGCGGCUGCGGAUAUGGUUGUUGUGAUGGAAAUGGUUGCGGCUGCGGAUAUGGCUGUUGUGGUGGAAAUGGUUGUUGCUGCCCUGGAAAUUGUUGUUGUUGCACCAAUGGAACUUGCUCUUGUGGUUGUUGCUGAGAUGGAUUUUGCGGCUGCAAUUGUGGCACUGGAACUCUAA